This 98-nucleotide small nucleolar RNA is filed under the name Oryza brachyantha (malo sina). RNAcentral describes it as "Small nucleolar RNA snoR99". It matches the Rfam family "Small nucleolar RNA snoR99". The record is from Rfam by way of RNAcentral. Lineage: Eukaryota; Viridiplantae; Streptophyta; Magnoliopsida; Poales; Poaceae.
GUGCCUGUGGGAUGAACAGGUCCCGAUAUUUACCACCAUUUUAUUCACUUUGUCAGCUAAUAGUCAUGUUUUAGCUGAUCAUUGAGAAUGGGAAUACU